Molecule: ribosomal RNA, 500 nt
Filed under: uncultured bacterium
Lineage: Bacteria
Description: partial 16S ribosomal RNA
Rfam family: Bacterial small subunit ribosomal RNA
Source: RNAcentral
AUUGAACGCUGGCGGCAGGCCUAACACAUGCAAGUCGAACGGCAGCACGGACUUCGGUCUGGUGGCGAGUGGCGAACGGGUGAGUAAUAUAUCGGAACGUAUCCAAUAAUGGGGGAUAACUAAUCGAAAGGUUGGCUAAUACCGCAUACGUCCUACGGGAGAAAGCUAGGGACCUUCGGGCCUGGCGUUAAUGGAGUGGCCGAUAUCGGAUUAGCUAGUUGGUGAGGUAAAGGCUCACCAAGGCGACGAUCCGUAGCUGGUCUGAGAGGACGACCAGCCACACUGGAACUGAGACACGGUCCAGACUCCUACGGGAGGCAGCAGUGGGGAAUUUUGGACAAUGGGCGAAAGCCUGAUCCAGCCAUUCCGCGUGAGUGAAGAAGGCCUUCGGGUUGUAAAGCUCUUUCGCAAGAGAAGAAAACUUACCCUCUAACAUAGGGUGAGGUUGACGGUAUCUUGAUAAGAAGCACCGGCUAACUACGUGCCAGCCGCCGCGGUAA